CAGCCUUGGUCCACGCGAGCUGGGCGCGGCCGGCUGCGGUGCCGGCGGGAGGAGGAAGAGGUUGCUUAUCCCAGGGGACUCCCGGCGUCCGGCGGCGCUCCGGCGAGGCGCGGCGUGAGGAUUGGGUCGCGAUCCGGGAAUUUCUAAAAACGCCCCUGAAUAUUUUCUAAUAGCCCCCUAAUUUGGAUCGCGACUAUUAAUCGCAAUCCGAAUAUUUAUAAAGUACCCCCAAAAUUUUUCAUACAGACCCCUAAUUUGGAUCGCGAUUAUUGAUCGCGAUCCGAAUAUUUGCAACAUGCCCCUAUAUAUUUUCAUAUUGCC
This 321-nucleotide long non-coding RNA is filed under the name Setaria viridis. RNAcentral's name for it is "long non-coding RNA (SVIR_LNC002469)". The record is from RNAcentral. Lineage: Eukaryota; Viridiplantae; Streptophyta; Magnoliopsida; Poales; Poaceae.